Orcinus orca (killer whale) is the source of this 2268-nucleotide long non-coding RNA. RefSeq lists it as uncharacterized. Lineage: Eukaryota; Metazoa; Chordata; Mammalia; Artiodactyla; Delphinidae. The record is from RefSeq and is a predicted model, not a curated record. The transcript is spliced from 3 exons.
UUGACUGCUCUAGGGAGCUUGCGCCAGGGGAGGCACGCAGUACUUGCCUUUCUGUGCCUAGCUUACUUCACUUAGCAUCGUGUCCUCAAGGUUUGUCCGUGUUGUAGCGUGUGUCAGAAAUCCUUCGCUUUUUAAGGCCGAACAACAUUCCUUUGAGACCACGUGUUACCUGUCCGUUCUUCCGUUGAUGAAUCUUUUGGCUACUGUGGUAACGCCACUAUGAACAGGGGUGGACAGUUCUCCUCGGCUUGGAGCUGCUGUGGUCUAAUGUGGGGGGCGACAGGUAGAUUCACCAGCAAGUUACCCUGGAUGAGCCCCCAUUUUGUCAUCUGUGAAAUGGGGAUACUGUUACCCACUGUAAGGGUUCAAUGAGAUGCUGCACCAUUUGGGGCAGUGCCGACACGUGGUAAACACUUGAUAAAUGCGAGCUUUUACUGCAGCUGCCGCCGCCGUGGGGCAAGAUGUGUCUAGAGAAGAGGGGGCCUGAAAGCGGGGGGUCAGCUUGCGCCCUCCCACGAAGGUCAUGUCAGCCCACCCUCAUGAACAUCCUGGCGAGUGGUCCUGAAGAUCUCAAUUUUCCAGGUCCCAAAGAGGUCCAGUGCCAGAGGCUGGGGACCCAGAGGUGAAUUAGAUGUGGUCUCCACCUCCAAAUGGGUCUGAGCCCAAGGAUCAGGCACGGCUUCAAAAAGCAGGUGAGAUCUGAGCUGACUUCGGAAGAGGAGGAGCCAGACCUAUCUUCAUAGGAGCGUGACCUGUGCUGUCACACCAGGCCCUGUGCUCAGAAGACCCCCGUGCUUCGUUUAAUGUUCUCCUUUGCCAUCUUGGAGUUCUGAAUUUUUGAACAAAGGACCCCAUAUUUCCAUCGUCCACUGGGCCCGACAAAUUAUGUAGCAGUGCUGUGAAUAGGAGACCAUCAGGCAGAGAAGAGGGGGUAUCUUUGAAGUAAAAGGGCUCUGAGCGUGCAAAGGCAUGCUGAAACUUGAGGCUUAGCUCAUCCUGGAAACACUGCCAGGCACGCUGUUUCUAGUCGGAGAGCUGUGCAUCCCGGGAAAGCGGGAGAAGCUCAAAGUGGAAAACAGUGAAAGGCUUCAAACGCAAAGUUAGGAGGUUUGGAUGUUGUAUGAGGUGUCCGUGGGGAGCCUUCCAAACUGUGGAUUGGGAACGUGAUGGCUCACGGAUGGCACUGUGGCACUGUGGAGACGAACGGUGCAGACAGUGUUAUAAUGUGUACUUUAUAGAUGGGGAAACUGAGACCCCAAGAGGUGAUGUGAGCAGGGCUGCAAGAGAACUUUUGUGGGCUCUAGGCACUUUUAGCUUCAUGGACCCCUUUCUUCAGAAAUGUGCAUAUAUGUGUACAUAUACAUGUAUGUACACAAACAUACUCAUGCACAUAUGCAUGUACAUAUGUGUAUGUAUAAUUAUAUUUUACACCUGCUUUGGUAUAAAGGCAAAUGCAUUAAUAUUAUAUACUAAAACACUUUCUUUGACUUAAAGUACAGUGGGCCCGAGGUUCUGUGCCUGCUGCACUUAAUGGAAUAUCACCCUGGACACCGGCUGCUCAGCCCUUCUGUCUCUUCAGGAGCUGCCCUCAGGAUUCCUGGAUCUUCCUGGAAUGGGUGGGCGGCCCUUUUCUCCCCAGGGGUAGCACUUGCCAGUCCCUAAGCCCCUUUCAGAUGGAACCUGCUUUACCUCCAAGGACUUUCCAUCCCAGUUUCCUAAGGAGGGUGCUGAUGACUGUUUGGAUUUGUAUCCGGAUGGUGGGGCUGAGUGAUAGGUAAAGGAGAGAGAGUUGCAUGUACCAAAAUGUUCAUUGCAGCUCUAUUUACAAUAGCCCAGAGAUGGAAACAACCUAAGUGUCCAUCAUCGGAUGAAUGGAUAAAGAAUGUGACACAUAUAUACAAUGGAAUAUUACUCAGCCAUAAAAAGAAACGAAAUUGAGCUAUUUAUAGUGAGGUGGAUGGACUUAGAGUCUGUCAUACAGAGUGAAGUAAGUCAGAAAGAGAAAGACAAAUACCGUAUGCUAACACAUAUAUAUGGAAUUUAAGAAAAAAAAAUGUCAUGAAGAACCUAGGGUAAGACAGGAAUAAAGACACAGACCUACUAGAGAAUGGACUUGAGGAUAUGGGUAGGGGUUGCGUAAGCUGUGACAAAGUGAGAGAGUGGCAUGGACAUAUAUACACUACCAAAUGUAAAAUAGAUAGCUAGUGGGAAGCAGCUGCAUAGCACAGGGAGGUCAGCUUGGUGCUUUGUGACCCCCUAGAGGGGUGG